RNAcentral lists this ribosomal RNA (497 nucleotides) under uncultured bacterium. RNAcentral describes it as "partial 16S ribosomal RNA". It matches the Rfam family "Bacterial small subunit ribosomal RNA", at positions 28 to 507 of the family's 1533-position model. The record is from RNAcentral.
GAUGAACGCUGGCGGCGUGCCUAAUACAUGCAAGUCGAGCGAACAGACGAGGAGCUUGCUCCUCUGACGUUAGCGGCGGACGGGUGAGUAACACGUGGAUAACCUACCUAUAAGACUGGGAUAAUUUCGGGAAACCGGCGCUAAUACCGGAUAAUAUAUUGAACCGCAUGGUUCAAUAGUGAAAGACGGUUUUGCUGUCACUUAUAGAUGGAUCUGCGCCGCAUUAGCUAGUUGGUAAGGUAACAGCUUACCAAGGCAACGAUGCGUAGCCGACCUGAGAGAUGGGUCGGCCACACGGGAACGGAGACAGGGUCCAGACGCCUAAGGGAGGCAGCAGUAGGGAAUCGUCCGCAAUGGUCGAAAGCAUGACGGAGCAACGCCGCGUGAGUGAUGACGGUCUUCGGAGCGUAAAACUCUGUUAUUAGGUAAGAACAAAUGUGGAAGUAGCUAUGCACGUCUUGACGGUACCUAAUCAGAAAGCCACGGCUAACUACGUG